UUGGAGGGCAAGUCUGGUGCCAGCAGCCGCGGUAAUUCCAGCUCCAAUAGCGUAUAUUAAAGUUGUUGCAGUUAAAAAGCCCGUAGUUGAAUUUCAGGCCUGGCUGGACGGUCCGCCCUUCGGGUGAGUACUGUCUGUGGUCGGGUCCUACCUUCUGGCGAAGCGUCAUGGCCUUAACCGGCCGUGGCGGGGAACCAGGACCUCUACUGUGAAAAAAUUAGAGUGUUCAAAGCAGGCAAUCGCUUGGAUACAUUAGCAUGGAAUAAUGGAAUAGGACAAUGGUUCUAUUUGUUGGUUUCUAGGACCGUUGUAAUGAUUAAUAGGGAUAGUUGGGGGCAUUAGUAUUCAAUUGUCAGAGGUGAAAUUCUUGGAUUUAUUGAAGACUAACUACUGCGAAAGCAUUUGCCAAGGAUGUUUUCAUUAAUCAAGAACGAAAGUUAGGGGAUCGAAGACGAUCAGAUACCGUCGUAGUCUUAACCAUAAACUAUGCCGACUAGGAAUCGGGCGAUGUUGAAAAAAUGACGCGCUCGGCACCCUAUGGGAAACCAAAG
RNAcentral lists this ribosomal RNA (551 nucleotides) under uncultured Paraglomus. RNAcentral describes it as "SSU rRNA". It matches the Rfam family "Eukaryotic small subunit ribosomal RNA", at positions 548 to 1103 of the family's 1831-position model. The record is from RNAcentral. Lineage: Eukaryota; Fungi; Glomeromycota; Glomeromycetes; Paraglomerales; Paraglomeraceae.